AUCACACAAGACACAACAACAACAAUGAACAACAUCAUCAUCCUCAUCUGGACUCUCACACUGUUUGCUCAAGAGAGUAGAGGACAGAUCACUGUAACUCAGAGUCCAUCAAAAACAGCAGCUCAACCAGGACAAGAAGUCAGAAUAAACUGUAAAACCAGCAGUAAUGUCUACAGUGAUAGUUAUGGGUCACGUAUGGCCUGGUAUUUACAGAAACCUGGAGAAGCUCCUAAACUCCUCAUAUAUCUUGCAUCAACCCGUUUCACUGGAACUCCAUCUAGAUUCAGUGGCAGUGGAUCUAACAGUGAUUUCACUCUGACCAUCAGUGGAGUCCAGACUGAAGAUACAGGAGAUUAUUACUGUCAGAGUUUACACUCUAUUAGUGGUAGCUGGGUGUUCACACAGUGAUAAAGAGUCGUACAAAAACCUCCGUCAGUCAGAGUCACAGUGACUGCACUGAUACAGCUGAGAGAUACUGCAGCUGCUGAUGGAUGUGAAUCAUCUCAGUCACUCUUGUCUGUAGAUCAUUACAUUUCAAUGCAGAAAAUUAAAUGAUCUAUUAGCAGAAACCAAACAUUUCCAUUCAUAAGUUGCAUCA
Molecule: non-coding RNA, 598 nt
Organism: Carassius auratus (goldfish)
Lineage: Eukaryota; Metazoa; Chordata; Actinopteri; Cypriniformes; Cyprinidae
Source: the annotation of a RefSeq genome assembly